This 8943-nucleotide long non-coding RNA is filed under the name Homo sapiens (human). Its description in RNAcentral is "HSALNT0403618". Lineage: Eukaryota; Metazoa; Chordata; Mammalia; Primates; Hominidae. The record is from RNAcentral.
CUCUCUUUUUGCCUGCUGCCAUCCACGUAAGAUGUGACUUGCACCUCCUUGUCUUCUGCCACGAUUGUGAGGCUUCCCCAGCCAUGUGGAACUAAAUAUUCUUUCAUUAAUAUUACAUGCUUAUGGAACUUUACCUAUUGAUUAAAGACAUCUACCCCUGGAGAAAGAGCCCAAUGAGAAGUAAUCUCUGAAGCCCAGAUUUCCUAAGGAUGAAGCUUCAGGAGAGGCCUUAUCAAUCCUGACAACAAACUUUUCUCGUCAAUUUAGUUUCAUUUAAUGGAAGUUUUAAAUGUGUAAAGUUCAGAAGGCUAUUAAAAUUGGUUCCAGCUAUCUAAGAUACACACACAACCACACACGCGCACACACGGUAGAGAUAAAUAUGUUCGAAAAUCCAGCUCAAUGUUACUAGAAAAUUUGAUCAGAAUCUGGUGAAAUAAAUAGUAAACUUACUAAAAAUGCCAAAUAUCCCAGAAGCUGCUUAACAUUUGAUCAAAAGCUCUGUCCAGUCAAUUCCUGCUUCUUUCAAAAAUACUCUGCUGAAAAGCCAAAGGAGAAAUGGGGCUGGUACCUUCAAUAUAGAGAAUUCCAAGUAAGAUUAGAUCCCAGAAGGCUUAGUGUGGCUUUCUAGGACUCUCACUAUUAGGCAGUAACCUACCAUUCACCUCUGUUUCCCAGAUUCACCUUGUUAUACCUUAUAACUUAAAAUAUAAAUUCCAACAAUGUACUGCACUCAAAAAAAUUAUUUCUCAAUUUGUUUGCUCAUACUAUUGAUUUUUUUCUAGAAUCUAAAUAAUUGUGAAUUAACUAUGAUAGCAGUAUGCACAAACAGUAAGUGAAAUCAGACCUAUUAAUUCUGAGAGGAAGGAGGUGUCAGGAUUUUCACAGAAGAAGAGCACUAAGGCCAGGCGCAGUGGCUCAUGCCUGUAAUCCCAGCACUUUGGGAGGCUGAGGCAGGCGGAUCAGGAGGUCAGGAGUUCUAGACCAGCCAGACAAACAUGGUGAAACCCCGUCUCUACUAAAAAUACAAAAAUUACACGCCUGUAAUCCCAGCUACUCAGGAGGCUGAGGCAGAAGAAUCGCUUAAACCCGGGAGGCGGAGGUUGCAGUGAGCUGAGAUCGCGCGACUGCACUCCAGCUUGGGCGACAGAGCAAGACUCCAUCAAAAAAAAAAAAAAAAAAAAAAAAGCAAAGCACUAAAUCUCGUAUGUGAAAGAUGAGUAGAUUUUUCCUAACAGGAGCAAUAAAAAUUAGAGCUAAAAAUAAUUUCAUGAAGCAAAAUAUUCAAAGAAGAUGAAGAAUGAAUAAAGACAAUUGAUCUGGUAAUUCACAAGCCAAGCUUCAGUAAGUGGUAGGAUAGACGCUGAUUUUUAAGUGUAAAAUGAGCAAAUUAUGCUGAAUAAAGAAAAUUAUUUAAAAAUUGUCAAGAAAUAACUAGAGACCCAGGGAAGACAAUUUUCAUUUUAAGGCUUAAUAAUGUUUGCAGACUGAAGGAAAAGAUGCAGUGGAGGAUGAGAGACCUUAGCAGGGGAUUAAAAUAGUGGAGCAUUUUUGUGGCAAUGCCAUUCAAUAAGAAGACAGCAUUGGAAAGAAGAGAGACAUUUAUUCCUCCUAGGUAGGAAGCAAAAAGUAGAAAUUUGUAAAGAAAAAAGUAUUGGGAGAUAAAGAAGAAUCACAGGUGUAAUCCUGAACAUCCUAAAUCAAAAUUAUUGUUUAUGUAUUUCUCCUUCCAGAAAUGAAACUUGUAAUAGACGAUCUGUGGCUUAAUAACCUUCUAUCUCCAGCACCUGACGUAUGGCAGGUCUCUCAAUAUAUAAUUAAGAUAUGGAUCUAUGGAGGUACAAUAAUUCUUGUUAUAUGAAUCACUAUUCCUGAAGUUGGAGUAUAUUGGCUCAUCUGGGAAUAGGGAAAUUGGCAGUUAGUUGAGAGACCAUUGGAACACCUGCUGAAAGAAACGUGAUAAUGAUUCAAGGGGAGGAAAAAAAAAAAAAAGAAAACCAAGUGAGGAAUGACCACAAUAACACUAACUUGAAGUGGAUGCAGUCGGCAUAUUUUUGAAAAUGUUUUAAAUCAACAACUUCUAUUUGGAGAGCAGAUGUAAUUACACCAGACAGCAGAGAUAAUAAAUAAAUAUCAGUGCAGUCACAGUGGUGUGGCCGGAGUAUCAGUGCCUCGGUUGCUAUGGGCAGCAGAAGACACAGAUGCCUCUGGCAUCCUAGCUGGCAAUGAAGAAAAAUAAACACAGAAUUAGGCUUCAGGUUAGAGAAUAACAGAAUAAUAGAGGUUAGGAUUUAGACAGAAAAAAACAGGCUUGCUGGAGUUAUGGAAGUGGGAGAGACGAAACAAGUGAAAAAGAACUUCUCUUCUUGUAAUUUCUCAUGUUCAAGGAAAGGAAAUGUCAGCAUUCAAAAUUGCAGAGAAUGAGAAAACAAAUGUGAUGAUUUUGAUCAAGGUCAUGUUUAUGCCGGUGAUUAACAGAUAAAAUGAAGAGUCCUUGGCAUCAUAGGAGGGACUCUGAGCCAGAGUGCUAAAAGGACCAUCUACUUAAAUGAUGGAGUUCAUAAUAAGAUUGGAGUGGAGAAAAAUUAUGAAGCAAGUACUCAGAAAAUGAGAAUGUUAGGAGGUUACAGGUUGAUGGCUUUAAGGAUGGAGAGAAUAUACGUUAUGAUAAACAUAAAAAAGUGGAUGGUGGAACAAAAGUUGCCUGAAAUUGGCAGCUGUGAGUAAUUAAUCUUUAACAUCUCUUCCUUACUUAAGUAGAAAAAGGGCCUCCAUCAAAAUGGUAGUGAGAAUUUUAUCCAUCAGAGACAACACACUUUCAGUUGCAGAUGAGACAUGGAAAAUAUUCUCACACAAAAUGUGGUCAAGAAAAGGAGUAAUAGUACUUAUUUUUCUAAUUGAAUACAUAAUAAUAUUAAUAUACAUUAUCUGUAAAUAUUCAUAUUGAUCAUGGGAGAGGUAAUCAGAAUAUAUAAUAUUGACAGCUGAAUUGAAAUUAAUAUAUUUUUCUAAAAAAAUGAGAUUAUGGGUAAUGAACCAAUAUUGGCUAGGUGAAAAUUGUCUAGUUUUUACAACUAGAAAUGCUUCCUCUCAAACACUUAUCAAAAUCACAGGUGUAUUUUAGGCUGCUAUAUUUGCCAAAUGAAAACAGGAUACUGACAUUCAUACACACAAACAUGCAAGCAUAUGCUGAAAUUUUCAUUCCAGAUGUCUACAAAAGAGAACAGAUAAUACGAAGUUCGUUACCUAUUUCAAGUUACCUCUGAGAUUCCUUACGCUGAAGACAAAUAUUCUAUUAAAAAAGAGUCCUUAAAUAGGCCAUAAGAACCCGAAUCCUUUCAUAAAGAGUGAAAGAGUAUGGUUAUUUUUGAUAACAAUUAUUAUCAAAAUAAAUUAUUUUUACUUCUAAAUUAGUACUGAUUACAUCUGAAGGUUUUUGUUUCUCUGAUACCAGGAUUUAAAAUUAUUUCAGAAAGCAUGAUUAGUUUUAGUGUCUGUAGAUCUUUGCUGUCAGUGAAUUAAAGUAUUUUUGAAAAAGGAAUAUGUAUUCCUGAAAAGUGAUCUAUACUUUAUAGAAAAUUACCUAUUUGUGUAAAUAUAGGAAAACAGCUCUAACAUUAAAAUAUGUGCAUCAAUUGGAUUCAGAGUGUUGCAUGAGGUUUCAACUUUAAAGAAGUAUUUAUAACAUUUGGAGAAACAAAAUUAACAAGAAAAAGUAAAACCAAAAUAUUAAAAAUAAAGGUAAUAUUCCUCAUCAGAAAAUAAGAAAAAAAUACCAACAAUUGUGGUAAUACCAAAGUGAUUUUAAAAAUACAUUUUUUUUUUUUGUUCAUUGGUUGUCUUGUUCAAUUCAGUCAAACAUAAGCCAACAAGAUAAGACUCCACAUAGAUCUUUUUAAGUUACCAAGUGUUGUGUGUGCCGCUCUAACUGUCCAUGGUUUCUGUUUUUUCUACUAAAAUUCUAGCAUACUAAAUUCUGUAUGGUAUUUUUUCUAGCAUUAUCUCUGGAAAAUUAGACCAGUGACUAAUACAAUUACUCUUUUAGUUUUCAUAGAUUUGACUAUAUGUCUGAGCCUGGAGUUGUUUGCGUUUAUUCUAUUUCGGAGUCACUCAGUUUCCUGAGUCUAUAGAUUAGUUUUUCACCAAAUUUGGGAAGUUUUCAGUCAUUAUUUCCUCAAGUAAUUGUUAAGCCCCAUAUCCUUUUUCCUCUCAUUCUAGGACUGCAGUGACACAAACAUUAACUAUGUCAUUAUUGCUCCAGAAGUCUUUGAGGCUCAGUUUUUUUUUUUCUUAUCUGUUUUCUCUCGUUGUUUAGAUUGGGUAAUCUCUACUAAUCUACCUUAAAUCUUACUGAUCCUUUCCUCUGUCAUUUCCAUUUUGUGAUUUUGUCCAUAUGCUGAGAUUGCUAUUUGGAAUAUUUUUACAGUACCUUGUUUAACAUUCUUGCUCAAUAAUUUUAACAUUUGUAUCAUCUUAGUGUUAUAGUCUAUUGAUUGUCGUUUCUUACUUGAUUUGAGAUUCUCCUAGUCCUUAGUAUGUCAAGUGACUUUGGACUAUAAUUUGGACACUACAUGUAUUAUGACGUAAGACUAAAGUUAUUACUUCGAUCUUUUACUUAAGUGGGUAUUCCACCUGUUUAGUUUCAAAAUACAUGUCCUAGCUCACUUUUGUUAGCUAUUGUUCAAAUUUCAAUUUGGUUUCUAAAUCCCCUGGAGUCCAGUAUCCCCCAGUCACAGUUGUAUGUGACUCAGGUGACAGGACUCUGCCCCACAAUCUUCUCAUCAUGGACUGGGGAGACAGAGGAAAAUUACUUCACUGCCACAGAGGAUGGUGGAAUUCAGAGUUCCAGGCACAUGUCCAUAGGGAAAUGGCACUUACACAUUAAAACUGGUCAGAAAUGAAUGGCAGAGUGACACCCACAGGCUUCAGUAGAUAGCGGUGCCUCCUGAUACUGGGAUGGGGUGGAGAACAGGCUUACGCCCCAUAUCUCUGCAGGGAUGGUGAGACUGCCUGAAUACCAUGGAAGAGGGAGAUGGAAGUCUGAGCUGUGCACAUAAGCUCCACUGGGGAGAGGUACAACCCAGUUACUGCAGAAGAAGGGAGAAAGUCAGAGGGGUCAUAGUCUCUACGGGGAAGGAAGGCCAUCUCAUUCCUGCAGAAGGUGGGUAGAUGUGAGUUCCACCCACAACCUCCAUGGUGGGGGGAUGCUACCUCCUUACUCCAGGAAGAGGGUGGAAGACAGGGUUCUAUCCCCAGUCCCACAGUUAUAGCACUCAUUGAGGUGGAGAUAGAACACAUUUUUUUUCAUAGUAUUCCUCUUGAAGAAAGAUAAGUAUGGUUAAAAUAUUUCUGCUAUGCUGGGUUACCCUUUUUCCUGGUACUUUCACUAGAGACAGAUGAUACAGAAGAGAAAGGGUGGGAGGGGGGGAGAGAUAUAGACCACAAAGAAAAAUAGAAAGGUGAAUAAUUCCUGAUAAUAUUAGAUGAGGUUAUUUAUUAAGACCUACUUUACACAUUUACUACAAGGUAUAAUUGACAAAAGGUAAAGAUCAUUUGUAAUGAGAAACUUUCUGCCGCUUGUAUAAUACAGUGUCUGUACUUUCACCAAUAGCUUCUCUAUUUAACAUUAUGUGGUUCUAAAUAAUCUUUCAAAACACAUACUAACCUGUUUCUCUGUAAUAUCAUCUCACAGACAGAUUUAAGGAUAAGUUAAGUGUUUUAAAAAUCUAUUUAUAUUAAAUUAUAUAAGAAUGGAGGCAGGAAGACAGAGCUUGGAACAUUAUCUACAAUUAGUGUCUUAUAUUGCCAUGGUCAGAAUGUUUGUGUCCUCCCCCAAAUGUAUAUGUUGAAACCUAAUUCCUAAAUUUGAUGGGGUUUAGGGAAGUGAUUUGGUUAUAAAGGUAGCAACUGUCAUGAAUGGAAUUAGUGCCUUUAUAUGGGGCUGAAGAUACCAGAGUUCUUCCCUUCUACUCUGUCAGGAGAUAGCAACAAGCUGGCUAUCUGCAACCCAGAAGAAGGCCUUCACCAAAACUCAACCAUGCUGGCAUUCUAAUCUAGAACUUCCAGCCUCCAGAGCUGUGACAAAUAAAUUUCUAUUAUUUAUAGGUCAUCCAGUCUAUGGCAUUUUGUUAUAACAGUCCAAACUGACUAAAACAACCACAAAGGCAGAAAAUGCUAGUUUUCUACUAAAUGGUCAUAAAGAAUUGAAUAAGUGAUCAAAAAAACAUGAGACAGCUGUCUGUAAAUUUCUGUACCCCCUUCCUCCAUCGUAAUAAAAAUUUUUAGCUCUACAUACAGAUACAGGAAAUAAAAAAUACUUUCCAAAUUUGCACCUGGGCAUAGCCAAGCAACUAACACUUGCAUUAGGAUGUGGGUAAUGGGUAUGCAUCUGCAUUCCGGGAGAUGCCCUUUGAUAAGGUGUGCCAUCCUUUUUUUCUCUUCCUCUUCUCACUUGUUCAUAUUGAACACUGAAGGGGCAGUAUAGCAUCUUGGGAAGCAGCAGAGUUACCAUAUAGACAAGUAGAGAAAACUUUUGACUUUGCAGAGUGGGGCUGUGUUGACUGCUUGACAUUUUACAAAAGAGAAAAAAUGAACUUCUAUCAUGUUAAUUCUACUCACAUUUGGGAUUGUCUCGUGCUUAAACUCAUAGCCGAACUAAUACAGAAAGGAAGAGAGCAUGAAGAAGUAUAACAUUUCUUACAGCUUCAGCCCAGUCUAUCCAUAUGAGCAGCUGAUAAGUCUAUUGAAUCAUUUCAUACCAAGUCACAGAAAAAAAAAAAGUGUUUUUCAAUUGUUGUGUGGCAGUGGGGAGAGGUGGUAAGGGGGAUAUGUCACACUUCAUUUGUUUUACAAGUAUUUAAGAAAUAUGUCCACAUAUUUGAUCCAAUAGUGUAUUUGAAGGAGAGUUAAAUAAUCAAUAUUUGAAAUCCAUCAUUUCUUCUUGAGCAUCUUAUGUAAUUCUAAUAGUUUGCAAAAUUGCUAAAUAUGAGUGAACUGAUACAAAGGAUUAUCUUUUCUUAAACUAGAUAAGUGAUGAUCCUAAGAUGAUCAAUGUAUGUCAGCAUGGCUAUUUCAAGGAAAUUGUUUAUGUUGAUAAAAAGCUCAGACCUAAACCCAGCUUGAAGUCUUAAGUAUUAUUGAGAUAAUAAAUGAAGAAAUUCAUCAUUUAAUGCAUUUCAUAACAAAUAAAGGAAACUAUUUUGCUUAAUGGGUCUACUAAGUAAAAUCCCACAGAAAGCUACAUAGGACCUUGACAUGUGAUAUCUGUUUAUGGUAAAAAGAAUGUAAUAAAUUAAAAUCUGAUGUGACUAUAUUCAUGCUUUUUAUACAUUUAUGAAAUAAACUAUAGUAAAAACCUAAAUUUAAAAACCGUAUUUCUAAAGUUAGAUUUUUUAGUAUUAAGUGUUGUCAUGAUAUAAUAAAGCUUCAAUCAGUUUGAUUUUUAAGUAGGUGUGAAAAUUUAAUAUUAUAAAUUCAUAUCGGAAUGAAUUAUUUAUCCCCAGGGGGAUCACACUCACAUUGAAAAAAGAAGUUUUACUGUAAUGUGGAAUUACUUACUAUUUUCUUCCGAAUAUGUUAUAACCGUAUUUGGCAUGUUUCAAAGUUAUAUUUAAUAAAGAAAAUGCAUGUUUCUAUAUAUGCUGCUAUGAAUACAAAGUGCCUCAAAACUUACUGGCUUAAGACAUCUCUAUUUCCUAAUGUUCCAAUGUGUCAGGAACAUAAGAAGGAAUCAGCUGGACAGCUGUGCCCUGUAGUGUUAGCACCAUUCACUCUCUCUCUUCACUUCACUGGAAGGUAGAAAAAGUUCACUCACAUGUCUGGAGCCCAUGUACUCCUUCAUGUGUUCUCUUCCUCACCAUCUGGGAAAAUUGGGCUUCCUCACAAAAUGGUGGUCACCUGGAUCUCUUACAUGACAUCUGGCUUCCAAAAGGGAGUGUACCAACAUAGGUGACACAAGAAGCUGCAAGCAUCUUUAGGCCCAACCUUGAGAGGUACACAACGUCACUUCUGACCAUUAUAUUGGUCAAAGUCAGUCUUCAGGCCUGUCCACAUUCAAGGGGAAUAGAAACCCCUUAUUUCAAUGAAAAGUGGCAAAUAAUUUGUGGCCAUCUUUAGUCCAUUAUGCUAUUUAGACCAUAUUUCUGAUAUGAAGUUAAACAUAUAAAGAAGCUACUACCUAUAUUUAUAAAUUAGAAAAUGGAGAAGAAAAAGAACUUUCAUUAUAAAAUUGUCUUGCCAAUUUCUAGGCUCCUUUAAAAAUAUUGUCUAUGAAUAAUAUGAAAGUUUCAGAAAGCUGCUAUUAGAAUUUGAAGAGAAUGCUGUAAGUAUAUGGUUUAAAUAGUAUCUUCCUACCAAAAUGUCUUAAAAAGUGACGAGAGUAAGGAAGUUUAUUGAACUAAGAAAAAGAAAAGCCUUAAAAUAGAUUGGCCAGUUUCUUCAUUCAUGCGAUUAUUUUUUCAUUUAUUCAUUCAUCCAACAAAUAUUUCUUGAUAUCCCAUUGUGAGCCCAGGGAUUUUGUUAGGCAAGGAGGCUGUAACAAUGAAAAGAAAAAUAUUGUUUUGUUUUCUUAACUGUGCUUACAACUUAAUGUUACAAAUUACUCUAAUGCAUGAGAUUAUUCAGCUGAAGUUUUGAUAAUGUAAAACAACAAAAUUCUUCGUAUAAUCUGUAAAUGAAUUGUAUGUGAAAAUCAUUAUAUAAAACAAUGAAAUACAAAUUCCUGGAUGCAUUUAGUUAUUCAAUCAAAUAAGCAUAAUUUAAGAUUUUGUUAUAUCCCUAGUGCAUCCUAAAUCUUCAGGCCAAUGCGUAAACCAUGUUUUCACAAAAACAGAUGCCUCCCAGCACACAGGACAGCUACAGCUGCUCUGUAGCUCCACGUGGGACCGUCUUCUCUUUGCUUACCAGCCCAUCCCCAGUUCCAAGAAAACAUGAGCUUCUUAAAACAAA